GUCAAGGAGCAAAACGAACGGCAAUACACAACACGUAACACUAUGGUGAUUGGAAUGGUUUCUGGAGUCGUUAGUAUUGUCAUUGUACUAGCGUGUAUUACCACCUUUUUAAUUUGUUGGAGAAGGCGUAUUGCUGCUAGAAGGAGCAAAGAUAAUUCAAACUAUGAUAACUUAGCGGUGGACCGUGCGGCACCUGAUGCCGACUAUGAAGAAUUAAAUAUUGUUAAUACAGAAACAGGUGCAGUGUCAACUUUGUCAUGAUGUUUUGCUGCUUAUAUAACAACACUACGGUUCCUUGUACUUCGUAAUAGUAAUAACUUCGAUUUUCUAGAAAUCUCGACCCUGGAA
Ruditapes philippinarum (Manila clam) is the source of this 348-nucleotide long non-coding RNA. RefSeq lists it as uncharacterized. Lineage: Eukaryota; Metazoa; Mollusca; Bivalvia; Venerida; Veneridae. The record is from RefSeq and is a predicted model, not a curated record. The transcript has 3 exons.